CCUAGCGGUUAGAAUCGUAAGAAAACCUUGCGAUUGAGAUACAGGUAAAAGAAAAGUGGACUAACGGAGGCUGGAGGACAAUGCUAUGGAGGUGUGUGUGUGCAAGGGGUUUGGAAUAAAGAUCCUAGGGGUCGAAACAGCUUAAUUCCAGUAUUUACGUUGUUAGUUU
Molecule: long non-coding RNA, 169 nt
Organism: Zingiber officinale
Lineage: Eukaryota; Viridiplantae; Streptophyta; Magnoliopsida; Zingiberales; Zingiberaceae
Exons: 2
Source: RefSeq, a predicted model, not a curated record